Brassica rapa (field mustard) is the source of this 689-nucleotide long non-coding RNA. RefSeq lists it as uncharacterized. The record is from RefSeq and is a predicted model, not a curated record. NCBI's taxonomy places the organism in Eukaryota, Viridiplantae, Streptophyta, Magnoliopsida, Brassicales, Brassicaceae.
CAACCUUCGAGUUUUUUUCGUCUUGGUCAUAGUAGUCAGAGCAUUGCCUAUGACUUCCUCCACUUCUGGGAUUCCCUGAAUUUCAAGAAAGAUAUGGAGUUUGUGGGAAUCACGGUUCUCUUCCUUGAUGAAAAGGCUACACUCAUCCGGUGGACGAGUCGUUAUAUGUCCCCUGGACAAAACCGUUAUGUCCAAAGUUCUGACCUCACCAAAGAAACAACUCGAGUCGUUAUUCGUUUCUUCAAUGAUCCGUAAGAAACAAUCAACACAUAAUUUUCUUUAUAUUACUGUAUAUAUUGUGCUAACAUCAAUAAUCAAAAAUAUUUUCUACCCAAGAUUUGUGGUCGUCUAUUUAUCUCUCUUACUUAUCAAUCUAAAUUUACACAAAUAUUUAUUUUACGGCUUAAAAGAAACCAAAAUAACUCAAACAAUCAAAACACCAAAAACUAGAAUCCCAAAAAAGACGAAUUAUUAAUGGUCACCUCUCUUUUUGUCUAAUCUUACAAAUAAAUUUCAAAACAAAUAUACCAAACCAAUCAACUCAACUAAAACUCAACGACACAUACAUUGAGUCAGCUAAAGAAAUACAAACUACACGUCCAGCUAUUUAACAAUUUACAAACUUACUUUCACAGAUGCUUACGAAGAAAACGAAGACGACAACCAAGAUCAAUGAAAUUACCCAUAAA